This 516-nucleotide long non-coding RNA is filed under the name Physcomitrium patens. Its description in RNAcentral is "long non-coding RNA (PPAT_LNC007667)". The record is from RNAcentral. Lineage: Eukaryota; Viridiplantae; Streptophyta; Bryopsida; Funariales; Funariaceae.
CAUUGCCUUACCAUCAUAGUUAAAAAUAAUUCUUAAUGUAGCUAAAUUCAAGAUCCUUUUGUCAAUCUUAGAUUUAAAAAAUCUUAAGAAGUUGGCUCUGAAUAAACAUACCCAAUGAUUCUAUUACAAAUCAAGUCAAACAAGUAUAUAUGGUAUAUAGAAUAUCUUUUUUUUAUAGCAAAAGUCUUGAAUGCAUUACAUUUGAUUAUGCCUAAAUAUCCAUACUUGUGUUUUAAAUACUUGAUAAAUAUUUGAAGAGGCUCAAAUAAUAAUGGCUCUUUUAUUUUAAAUAAAAUUUCUAUCAUUGCUUGAGCUAUGUGAGACAAAAUAAAUAGAGUAUUAGCUUAGAAAGUAACUAUUUUUUUUUUAACUUUUAAAUAUGUAUUAAUUUCUCUUUAGAUUAGAUCUACUUUCAAAAUAGGCAUUAACCUUAUGAUAGCACCUUCCUUAAGAACUAAAAUAAGCUCUAUUAGUACUUUUUAAUAAUGCUCUACUUUUUGCAAUUAGAAUGAAUAU